AAACCUAAGCUGCCCGCCGCUAUCUCCCCGCGGCCCUCCGCCAUGAGCUGACCGAUCGAGAGAAGUCCCCGUCUCUCCGUGACUUCCUGCCUGCAGGUGGGCGCGUGCUCAUUCUCAUCCUCUUUCUUUGAGAGGUCCGGGGUUAGCGCCGCGCGUUGCGCUGAAUGGAUGAACUCCUGAGUCCGAACUUGCAGUCCUUGUGGCCCUCAUAGCCGAUCGAUGCUUCAGCGCCUUCAGCUUCAUGUGAUUGUCGGUAUCGCCCUCGUUUGAGCUACGCAUCGUCGUGGACGGGGAUCUCGAGAGCAACACCAAGACACCGCCGAUGCAGGCGCCGAGGUCACGCCUGCUGCUCAGCUGCGGCGAGUCCAUACUGGCCGUGGCGGAGAGCGCGUACCGGCGCGUCGAGACAAUGAGCUGCCCUGUGGGGUGCCUGGCCAGGGGGUUCUCCCACGUGGCAGCCCCGGUCCUGCGCCCGCUGCGGCUGCGGCUGAGGUGCCUCUCGGCGCUCUCCUUCGUCGACCGGCAGCUCGUCGUCGCGCAGGACGUCGCCGCUGUGCUCCUCCCCCGCGCCGAGCGCGUGCUCAGGAAGGUCGACGACCUCGUCCUCCUCGUGGAGUCCCUGCCCGUGAGGUUCGACGGCGCAGUCGACGGCCUCGAGGCCCUGGUGGCCGGCGUGAGGAGCGGAGUCGCGGGGUUCGGGUUCGCUCCGGUGAAACAGUGCCGUGUCGACGAGGGCGGCGACGUGUUCAGGGACAUCCGGUGCGACGAGGAAGCGGGAGGCGCGGCGGACCAGGACGUGGAGAAGAUAUGCGAGGACGUGGCUCCGGAAGCGGGAAUCCUGGGGGUUGUCACGGUGGAUGACGGCAGCGGAGCGCGGGAUGGAGUAAGAACCAUCGGCGUCGCUUACGCGGAGAAGAUCACCGGGGAAACUCGGUGCAACGAGGAGAUGGCGCAUUCCGGCACGGGAGACGAUUAUUUCAGGCCGAGCAGCGAGGAGACUGGCCGUGAUGACGACGAUGCCGCGCAAGGCGCAGACAGGGAGGCAACGCAUCCUGAGGCAGCUAAGCAAGAGGUCGGCUCUGACGAGAGUGAAGGUGAGGGAGACCCGAUGAAAUUUGAGGCGUCAGGUGCCGAACAACGCGCCGAGGGGGUGAGAGUGAAACAGGACGGGCGCUCCCGCUCCAUGGAGGUUGUCGAGGCACACGCGGCAGAAAUCAUGCAGGCCAUGCAGAGCAGGGAGACAGAGAAGGCUGAAAGCCAACAGGCUGCCUCUCCAGAGGCGGGAACCAGUGAGACGGGAGAAACCAGCGGCAAGGAGAGCAGCAACAAGGACGGCAACCUGUUGGAUCUGUUUGAUGAAGCAUGGCAGCACAAGCUAGCCUAAGAACAUUGCUACAGGGCAUGAGCCUCAACAAGGUAAUUACUGGUGAUUGGUGAAUAUGUAGUUGUGUUGGUAUACUAGUGUUCAGGAUCGUACCUCAGGUAUAUUGUGUGACAUACAGAAGAAGUAUACGGAAAAAUGGGUCCCGCAAGAUUCAGAUAUGGGUCGAUGACAUUCGCUGCUCUUCUUGGUACAUCAGAACAUGAGCAAAUAGAAGAACAUGGUAUUCUGGCAUCAAUUUUCUGGACUCCAUCUCUUCCUGUAAUCUUUAGUCGAAGUGUACGAGACCACAUUCCAGUUGAUGGUCCUCUGCCGCCGCUGGAACCAACAUCAUAGAGCUGAGGCAAUAUGUCAAUAACAGGUUCUUGUGGUUUUUCAGUCGUGGACCUGGUAUCUCCUGGACUGCUUGGUUCACUUGUGUAAUCAUGAUAACCUAUAUUGAGUCGCUGCAGGUUAAACAAAUUCAUUCAUAUAUAAUGUAGAAUAAGUGUGCUGGUCAAUACCGGUCCUGUACGAUGAUUGGGCUGAUGUCACAACAUAUCGUUUUUCUUCUUCAUAAUAGUGGUUAAACCCGAGUGUA
This is an RNA transcript of Phragmites australis (common reed), 1961 nucleotides long. RefSeq lists it as uncharacterized. NCBI's taxonomy places the organism in Eukaryota, Viridiplantae, Streptophyta, Magnoliopsida, Poales, Poaceae. The transcript is spliced from 3 exons. The record is from RefSeq and is a predicted model, not a curated record.